Molecule: long non-coding RNA, 272 nt
Filed under: Fukomys damarensis (Damara mole-rat)
Lineage: Eukaryota; Metazoa; Chordata; Mammalia; Rodentia; Bathyergidae
Description: lncRNA (ENSFDAG00000033575.1)
Source: RNAcentral
AUCCUUUCUCCAUUUCCUCCAAGUUAGAGAGAAUUUGUCUCUUCAGACUUGCCACACUAUAGAACAAAUAAACAUCUCAGUCAAGAUAAGGAGGCUAUUUGAAGGCUUGGACCAUAACCUGCCACUCAACCCAGACUGUCAGCACCAUAACAGUGGCAUCACAAUAUAGCAGGAAGCCCUGGAUCCUGAAACCAGCCGUGAAAAUGUUCCAGUCCUUGCCAAAUGCAGUGUUUACUGAAAAGAGGCCAACAUUUACCACUGAAAAGAUAACA